Long non-coding RNA from Oreochromis aureus, 883 nucleotides. RefSeq lists it as uncharacterized. The record is from RefSeq and is a predicted model, not a curated record. Lineage: Eukaryota; Metazoa; Chordata; Actinopteri; Cichliformes; Cichlidae. The transcript is spliced from 4 exons.
AGGAAUGGCUUCUUGACUGGCGUUUUCCCACUGAGACCAUUUCUGAUGAGACUUUGUUGAACAGCAGAUGGAUCAAUUGAAGGGCCAGAUACAUCUCUCGGGUCCCGUGUCAGUUAAUAUAGAAGAACUACAGGGCACACUGACAGCGUCAUAAGAGAUGAGUGGAUCAGCAGUCUGCACAAGCACUCAGGUGGGAGGAUGCAAACUAUCCGUGCAGGAAGAUUAGAUACUUUGCCCAUCACACCAUUGAAGGUGGUCUCCCUUUGGUAAGGAGGGACUGUGAGUGUCCCCCUCAGGAUCAGUGAGUUAGAACAGUGCUCUCUUCAAACAGGAUAUUGGCCUUCGCUUGAGUCAGUCGCCUGGCACUUUGGAUCCUUGAAAAGAGCCCCUUACUCUUCAGACUACACAGUGUUUUAGAAAAACAGCCUGUAGACUUGCAGAGAGGACUCUAAACUCCAACAUGAGCCCCAUCAAAAUGACAUCCACUGCCAGCCCUGAGGGGAAAAUAUUGAUGCUGGCAAAGUCUUGACGUCCACUCGCACCAUGACGUAGCGGUUUUUCCAUGACACAUUUGAUGAUUGCUUCAAAAUGGUUCUGUCAGCUUUAAUAUACCCUAGAAGAAACCAGCAUUUCACUUUCCUCUAAAGUAAACAAAAUCCACUAGCUCUCUCCCACACACACACACACACACUCACACACACAUACAGAUGUGCGAUCACACUCCAGGAAUGAGUUUUGAGAUAGAACAGGCAUUUGUGAGCUGAUAUAUGUUUUCAUGGUCAAUCUUUUCACUCUUGAGUGAAGCAGUUUGAAUCGAUGUUGUUUUUGUAAGUUUGCAGACUGAGAGCCACGGUGUUAUUUCAGGAAACAUGGAUGUAAUGUC